Molecule: ribosomal RNA, 429 nt
Filed under: Bacillota bacterium
Lineage: Bacteria; Bacillati; Bacillota
Description: Firmicutes bacterium partial 16S ribosomal RNA
Rfam family: Bacterial small subunit ribosomal RNA
Source: RNAcentral
UAGGGAAUCUUCGGCAAUGGACGGAAGUCUGACCGAGCAACGCCGCGUGAGUGAAGAAGGUUUUCGGAUCGUAAAGCUCUGUUGUUAGAGAAGAACGUUGGUAGGAGUGGAAAAUCUACCAAGUGACGGUAACUAACCAGAAAGGGACGGCUAACUACGUGCCUGCAGCCGCGGUAAUACGUAGGUCCCGAGCGUUGUCCGGAUUUAUUGGGCGUAAAGCGAGCGCAGGCGGUUCUUUAAGUCUGAAGUUAAAGGCAGUGGCUUAACCAUUGUACGCUUUGGAAACUGGAGGACUUGAGUGCAGAAGGGGAGAGUGGAAUUCCAUGUGUGACGGUGAAAUGCGUAGAUAUAUGGAGGAACACCGGUGGCGAAAGCGGCUCUCUGGUCUGUAACUGACGCUGAGGCUCGAAAGCGUGGGGAGCAAACAGG